This 465-nucleotide ribosomal RNA is filed under the name uncultured bacterium. RNAcentral's name for it is "partial 16S ribosomal RNA". It matches the Rfam family "Bacterial small subunit ribosomal RNA", at positions 338 to 795 of the family's 1533-position model. The record is from RNAcentral.
CCUACGUGUGGCAGCAGUGGGGAAUAUUGCGCAAUGAGCGAAAGCCUGACGCAGCGACGCCGCGUGAGGGAUGAAGGUCUUCGGAUCGUAAACCUCUGUCAGCAGGGAAGAACGGUCACUGUGCUAAUCAGCAGUGAAUUGACGGUACCUGCAAAGGAAGCACCGGCUAACUCCGUGCCAGCAGCCGCGGUAAUACGGAGGGUGAGAGCGUUAAUCGGAAUUACUGGGCGUAAAGCGCUCGUAGGCGGUAUGUCAAGUCAAGGGUGAAAUCCCCGCGCUCAACGUGGGAACUGCCUUUGAAACUGGCAAACUGGAGUGUGUGAGAGGAUAGUGGAAUUCCAGGUGUAGGAGUGAAAUCCGUAGAUAUCUGGAGGAACAUCAGUGGCGAAGGCGACUAUCUGGCACAUAACUGACGCUGAGGAGCGAAAGCGUGGGUAGCAAACAGGAUUAGAUACCCUAGUAGUC